GGGAGUACCAUUUGGAAACAGAUGCUAAUACCGGAUAAAAGCACUUUCGCAUGAAAGAAGUUUAAAAAGGCGGCGUAAAGCUGUCGCUAAAAGGGGAUGGACCUGCGAUGCAUUAGCUAGUUGGUAAGGUAACGGCUUACCAAGGCGAUGAUGCAUAGCCCGAGUUGAGAGACUGAUCGGCCACAUUGGGACUGAGACACGGCCCAAACUCCUACGGGAGGCAGCAGUAGGGAAUCUUCCACAAUGGACGCAAGUCUGAUGGAGCAACGCCGCGUGAGUGAAGAAGGUUUUCGGAUCGUAAAGCUCUGUUGUUGGUGAAGAAGGAUAGAGGUAGUAACUGGCCUUUAUUUGACGGUAAUCAACCAGAAAGUCACGGCUAACUACGUGCCAGCAGCCGCGGUAAU
Molecule: ribosomal RNA, 404 nt
Filed under: uncultured Lactobacillus sp.
Lineage: Bacteria; Bacillati; Bacillota; Bacilli; Lactobacillales; Lactobacillaceae
Description: bacterial SSU rRNA
Rfam family: Bacterial small subunit ribosomal RNA
Source: RNAcentral